This 253-nucleotide ribosomal RNA is filed under the name uncultured bacterium. RNAcentral describes it as "partial 16S ribosomal RNA". It matches the Rfam family "Bacterial small subunit ribosomal RNA", at positions 524 to 776 of the family's 1533-position model. The record is from RNAcentral.
UACGGAGGGUGCAAACGUUGCUCGGAAUCAUUGGGCGUAAAGCGCACGUAGGCGGACCAUCAAGUCGGAUGUGAAAUCCCUCGGCUUAACCGAGGACGUGCAUUCGAAACUGAUGGUCUUGAGUACGAAAGAGGAUCGCGGAAUUCCCGGUGUAGAGGUGAAAUUCGUAGAUAUCUGGAGGAAUACCGGUGGCGAAGGCGGCAUCCUGGACCGGCAUUGACGCUGAGGAGCGAAAGCCAGGGGAGCAAACGGG